UACGGGGGGGGCAAGCGUUGUCCGGAAUUAUUGGGCGUAAAGGGCGCGUAGGCGGCCAUGCGUGUCUUCCGUGAAAUCCCUCGGCUUAACUGAGGACGUGCGGAAGAAACUGCAAGGCUCGAGUCCGGGAGAGGAGAGUGGAAUUCCCAGUGUAGCGGUGAAAUGCGUAGAUAUUGGGAGGAACACCGGUGGCGAAGGCGGCCCUCUGGACCGGUACUGACGCUGAUGCGCGAAAGCGUGGGUAGCAAACGGG
Molecule: ribosomal RNA, 253 nt
Filed under: uncultured bacterium
Lineage: Bacteria
Description: partial 16S ribosomal RNA
Rfam family: Bacterial small subunit ribosomal RNA
Source: RNAcentral